UACGUAGGCAGCAAGCGUUGUUCGGAGUUACUGGGCGUAAAGGGUGUGUAGGCGGUUUUUUAAGUUUGGUGUGAAAUCUCCCGGCUCAACUGGGAGGGUGCGCCGAAUACUGAAAGACUAGAGUGCGGGAGAGGAAAGUGGAAUUCCUGGUGUAGCGGUGAAAUGCGUAGAUAUCAGGAGGAACACCGGUGGUGUAGACGGCUUUCUGGACCGUAACUGACGCUGAGACACGAAGCGUGGGUAGCAAACAGG
This 252-nucleotide ribosomal RNA is filed under the name uncultured bacterium. RNAcentral describes it as "partial 16S ribosomal RNA". It matches the Rfam family "Bacterial small subunit ribosomal RNA", at positions 524 to 776 of the family's 1533-position model. The record is from RNAcentral.